GGAGGGUGCAAGCGUUAAUCGGAAUUACUGGGCGUAAAGCGCACGCAGGCGGUCUGUCAAGUCGGAUGUGAAAUCCCCGGGCUUAACCUGGGAACUGCAUUCGAAACUGGCAGGCUAGAGUCUUGUAGAGGGGGGUAGAAUUCCAGGUGUAGCGGUGAAAUGCGUAGAGAUCUGGAGGAAUACCGGUGGCGAAGGCGGCCCCCUGGACAAAGACUGACGCUCAGGUGCGAAAGCGUGGGGAGCAAACAGGAUUAGAUACCCUGGUAGUCCACGCCGUAAACGAUGUCGACUUGGAGGUUGUUCCCUUGAGGAGUGGCUUCCGGAGCUAACGCGUUAAGUCGACCGCCUGGGGAGUACGGCCGCAAGGUUAAAACUCAAAUGAAUUGACGGGGGCCCGCACAAGCGGUGGGGCAUGUGGUUUAAUUCGAUGCAACGCGAAGAACCUUACCUACUCUUGACAUCCAGAGAACUUAGCAGAGAUGCUUUGGUGCCUUCGGGAACUCUGAGACAGGUGC
RNAcentral lists this ribosomal RNA (515 nucleotides) under bacterium symbiont of Megymenum gracilicorne. Its description in RNAcentral is "bacterial SSU rRNA". It matches the Rfam family "Bacterial small subunit ribosomal RNA", at positions 527 to 1041 of the family's 1533-position model. The record is from RNAcentral.